This 429-nucleotide ribosomal RNA is filed under the name Pseudomonadota bacterium. RNAcentral's name for it is "Proteobacteria bacterium partial 16S ribosomal RNA". It matches the Rfam family "Bacterial small subunit ribosomal RNA", at positions 355 to 776 of the family's 1533-position model. The record is from RNAcentral. Lineage: Bacteria; Pseudomonadati; Pseudomonadota.
UGGGGAAUAUUGGACAAUGGGCGAAAGCCUGAUCCAGCCAUGCCGCGUGUGUGAAGAAGGUCUUCGGAUUGUAAAGCACUUUAAGUUGGGAGGAAGGGCAGUAAGCGAAUACCUUGCUGUUUUGACGUUACCGACAGAAUAAGCACCGGCUAACUCUGUGCCAGCAGCCGCGGUAAUACAGAGGGUGCGAGCGUUAAUCGGAUUUACUGGGCGUAAAGCGUGCGUAGGCGGCUAAUUGAGUCGGAUGUGAAAUCCCCGAGCUUAACUUGGGAAAUGCAUUCGAUACUGGUUAGCUAGAGUGUGGGAGAGGAUGGUAGAAUUCCAGGUGUAGCGGUGAAAUGCGUAGAGAUCUGGAGGAAUACCGAUGGCGAAGGCAGCCAUCUGGCCUAACACUGACGCUGAGGUACGAAAGCAUGGGGAGCAAACAGG